This 102-nucleotide small RNA is filed under the name Microtus ochrogaster (prairie vole). Its description in RNAcentral is "7SK RNA (ENSMOCG00000010338.1)". Lineage: Eukaryota; Metazoa; Chordata; Mammalia; Rodentia; Cricetidae. The record is from RNAcentral.
UCUGGAGUUAAGGGUAUGCCAGUAGCUGUGCUCCCUUGCUAGAACCUGCAAACAAGCUCUCCUUGGAGCCUUGUGAGAGACUUUGAAGCCUAGGAGCCCAGC